Molecule: non-coding RNA, 93 nt
Organism: Oceanobacter sp.
Lineage: Bacteria; Pseudomonadati; Pseudomonadota; Gammaproteobacteria; Oceanospirillales; Oceanospirillaceae
Source: Rfam
ACGUGAAUACUUAAACGACACACACGGACUGAAACUGAUGUGCCGGGGUGCCUGUUUCGACAGGUCGGGGCUCAGGGUUCGUGGAGGCAUAAC